GGAGGGUUGGGUCUUCCUGGAUGCCCUGAGGGAGAUUCCUUCACCCUGUCUCUGGUGUUGAGGCUUUGGGUCUUUACUUUCCUUGGCCUGGAGCUGGUCACUCCCACCCUGCCUCAUAUCCAGGGGCUUUUCUUUCUCCCUUCAGUUUUCCCCAUGCAGAGCAGGGCUGCCUCUUGCUCACAUGUUUGCUUUGCCAGGCCUCUGGGCCCUAUUUCUCUGUCCACAGCCCUCCUCCUUCCUCUUUCAGAGGCUGAGAACCCCAAAGCUUCCUCCAGAGACUGGAAAAAGUGUGGCCAGAUCCUGGCCACAAGGACAACAGCACUGGACAUGUCACACAAUACUAGUAACUGGGUAUGGUAGCUCACAUCAGCAAUCUCAACGCGUGGGAGACAGAGACAGGAAGAUUACAGCAAGUUCUAUGCCAGCCUGGGCUAUACGGAGCUGGUGAAAUGGCAGCGUGGCUGCCUACAUAUACCUGAGUCCCAAAUACCACAAAACAAUGAAUGUGUGGCACAGGCCUGUAGUCUUGGCAUGAGGGAGGAGGAAGCAGGAAGAUCAGAAGUUCAAGGCCAUCCUCAAUUACACAGUGAGUUUGAGGUCAGUCUAGAGUACACGAAAACCUUCCUCAGAAAUUAAACAGGGCAGGUAUGCUGGUACACGCCUUUAACUUCAGCAUCCCAAAGGCAGAGGCAAAGAUGGGAGGAUCUCUGUCAAUUUAAAACUAUCGCCUGCCCUACAUCGUGAAACCCUAUUUCCAAAAAAAAAAAAAAGAAAAAAAAAAAAGAAAAAGAAACAAAAAAGAAAAAGAAAGAGUUAAUAAUUAACUAAAUACAAAACAAAACCAAAAGUCAUGACUCUGGAUUGGUAGGGAUAUAAAGAGAGACAGAGUGAUCAGAAUAUAUACACAUAUAAAACUGUCAAAGAACAAAACUAAUCAAUAUAAAUUUAAGUGAGUAAGUAGCAAUUCAUUAAAUAAAUGCAGUGUUAACCCUAUCCCAGAGUCAUCCAGGUUUUCAAGGUUGGGGUUUGAGGUCAGACAGUGCACCUCUUGGCUGGGCCUCCAGCCCAAGGGACAGCUAUGACCAGAUGAAAGAGACAAAACCAAAGCCUGGCUGUUCCUCACCGGCUGUGUGACUUGGAACAAGUUGCUCUUCGUCUCUGGAUCCCAUUGUCCUCCACGUGUUCACAGAAGACAGUUUCUCUACACCCUGUGACUCUGCCAGGUGACACAUCUGCACAAGUUCUUUCAGUGUCUUCCAUGUCUGGGGUACAAUGAGAACACCAAAGAGGGGUUUUACCCUGGUGAAGGAAGUGGCCUGGGCCUUCCCAGCCAGUGAGGACCUUAGAAGGUCGUUCUGAUCACCAGCCCCUGGAAGCACUCCAGGCCUCUAGACUUCUAUCCAGAAAGAAAUGCAAAGUCACCAGGCUGGUGUCUCCUUUCACCCCGGAGGCAGCCAGGCAAGAG
Molecule: long non-coding RNA, 1465 nt
Filed under: Cricetulus griseus (Chinese hamster)
Lineage: Eukaryota; Metazoa; Chordata; Mammalia; Rodentia; Cricetidae
Description: lncRNA (ENSCGRG00015038067.1)
Source: RNAcentral